GGCGGUAGGCCUAACACAUGCAAGUCGAACGGCAGCACAGUAAGAGCUUGCUCUUAUGGGUGGCGAGUGGCGGACGGGUGAGGAAUACAUCGGAAUCUACCUUUUCGUGGGGGAUAACGUAGGGAAACUUACGCUAAUACCGCAUACGACCUUCGGGUGAAAGCAGGGGACCUUCGGGCCUUGCGCGGAUAGAUGAGCCGAUGUCGGAUUAGCUAGUUGGCGGGGUAAAGGCCCACCAAGGCGACGAUCCGUAGCUGGUCUGAGAGGAUGAUCAGCCACACUGGAACUGAGACACGGUCCAGACUCCUACGGGAGGCAGCAGUGGGGAAUAUUGGACAAUGGGCGCAAGCCUGAUCCAGCCAUACCGCGUGGGUGAAGAAGGCCUUCGGGUUGUAAAGCCCUUUUGUUGGGAAAGAAAAGCAGUCGAUUAAUACUCGGUUGUUCUGACGGUACCCAAAGAAUAAGCACCGGCUAACUUCGUGCCAGCAGCCGCGGUAAUACGAAGGGUGCAAGCGUUACUCGGAAUUACUGGGCGUAAAGCGUGCGUAGGUGGU
Molecule: ribosomal RNA, 554 nt
Filed under: uncultured Gammaproteobacteria bacterium
Lineage: Bacteria; Pseudomonadati; Pseudomonadota; Gammaproteobacteria
Description: bacterial SSU rRNA
Rfam family: Bacterial small subunit ribosomal RNA
Source: RNAcentral